GUCAGCGUGGCCUAGUGGUUGGAGCAUUGGACUAUGACUCUGGAGACCAGGGUUCAAAUCCCGGCUCGACC
RNAcentral lists this transfer RNA (71 nucleotides) under Phrynosoma platyrhinos (Desert horned lizard). RNAcentral's name for it is "tRNA-OTHER". Lineage: Eukaryota; Metazoa; Chordata; Lepidosauria; Squamata; Phrynosomatidae. The record is from RNAcentral.